UAGGGUAGACUAGGAGCAGAAGAGGAGAGGCGCUUCGGUUUCGGUUUGGGAUCUUUCGAUGGGUGGGAUCGAGACGGCAGCGGCUCUAGAGCGUAGAGCGAGGGUACCGCCGCGGGUUCGGGUAGACCCAGGCGGUCCGGCUCCUCCGGUUCGAGUUCAGGCUCCGGCUGUGGCGGCGGCGGCGGUUCCGGCGGAAGCUGCGGUGGAAGUCCCGGGAGAGGCGCUGGCGGGUGCGGCUGGUCAGGGGGGUCCUGCGGCUGGGCCUCGCGGUGCUGUCCGGGAGGAGGGGGCGGCUCGGGCGGAAGGCGGGGCUGGGGCUUAGGCUGAGGCUGCUGCUGCUGGCGGGGGCGCGGGGAGGGCCGGGGCAGCUGGGGAGGUUCAGGAGGCGGCGCCCGGGUCCGUAGCGGCCGCCGAGGCGCCCGCGCGGGCGGUGGAAGUGGCAGCAGCCCUUCCUGGCGCUGCCCGCAUCCCAGAGGCAUCCGCCGCGGGCGCAGGCGCAAGCGUAGACGGGGCGCCGCCCGCAGCCACCGCUGCUGGAUCUACCGCCGCAGUCCCUGUUGCCGCUGCCUAGGAUGCGGCAGUGGAUGCGUCAGGGGUUCGCGCCGUUGAUGUACCAGGUGUAGCUGGAGCUGCCGCGAGGGUAGUACCCCUCGGGGAAGGGACAGAAGAAGUCGCGACGGUGGCGGCGGAGGCGGCGCCGUCGGAAGGGGUGGUGGAGCAGGCGAAUGGGACGGCGGAGCAGGCGCAUGGGGUUAUACGAGUUGGUCUGGUACGGGUUGUACGGUUUGAUGCGGCCGAGGUACGGGCCAAGGAAGGGCCCGAACGAGCCGGAGUAGGGACCACGGAGGAGACCGCGAAGACCACCACAGCAGGACGGUCCGCAACCAAGGUGCAACCCACUCUAUACGGCCCUCGUGUAGUUACCCUUCACGUGGUUCCCUUGCCUGACGUUCAAGUCGGUGGGCGGUGUCGUCGACGAGUACAGACAGUACCGACGGUGAUGCAGGUACCCACGCGAGUCGGUACGAGGGUACCGCGGGAGGCGCCGUCGGUACCGUCGGCGAGUCCGAUAGUACCGACGCGUCCGCGAAGUCCGUGUACGACGAUUCUACGUUCGACUAAGGUUUCGACGUCUCGUCCGAAGUAGUCCAUACUGCCUUCGGCUCUUUCGACUCUGAGACUUCUUUUAACAAGUCUAAUCGUUGGACUCGGGUUAAGAAUGCCGCCUCUGGUAAUUCGUCGAUAAACCCAUGACACCGUUUCAACAACUAACAUGAUAGUGUCUGAGCUUUGUAUAACGAAUACACCUCAUAAGGUUUGGUCUUCUUCGUUGGCGACGUAACCGGGAGUCAUUGCACCUACAACCACCAGCGGGGAACUUACAACUCUACCGAUUUAGAGAAGGAGUUUUUUGAUCAUAACGUUUAUCGUUAAAUGGAUACUACUACGUCGUUCGACAAGUCUACGUUGUCGACGUUAAGGUCGUCAGUGACUACUACGUCUGCAGUUAUCGGCGAGUCGUCCGGCGACAUGCACGUCGGUGGUACUUUUUACGAUGACUACGUCGUCGACGUGCCCGACGACUCUAUUCGUCCUUCAACUUUCGUCUCCCGAAACCACCCCUUUCACGCCUUCUUUUCCUACGGUUUCUCUUCAGUUCUAGCGGUAGCGGGGGAAGAGCAUUUAGGUUCAGAGCCAGUUCUAGUGGAUAGUUCAUGGCAGCCUCAUCCGCCCUAGCGAGAAUGAGAGGCGGUCAAUCUGCGAGGGCCCUAGUGGCUAGUGCUAGAGGCAGCUCUAGAGUGGUGAGUUUCAUACCGUCACUGGCUAGUAUAUCCCUACUAUCCCUGUUUAUAUCGUCCAGACCCUCUUCUCUCUCACUGUCCAGAGCACUAGUAAUGAGUAGAUCAAGUUCCUCCUUGUCCUCGUCUUCAUAUUCGGGCUCCAGAUUCUUCGGUAGUUCUCGACUAAGAGCCAGUGGCUUCGCCGUUUCCCUUCUUUCAAAUUCGGGUAGUUUUAGUUCUUCCAGUCGAGCACGACCAAGUUCCAGUGGUGCUGUAGUAUUUCCUUCGUUCAGUAGUGGUUGUGCACUAGUCGCAAGAAGAGCAGCAUCGUCCGUAAGUUCUAGGUCUAGAGUUCUCUCUUUCGUAGCAUUGUCACUAUUCUUCCUACAGUUUUUUAGACUCCACGUCCUACUGUUUUUUUCUAGACUAUCUCCAUGAUCUCCACCGUUUCUACUUUCCGGACAUUUCCUGCGUCACCUAUUCUUACGUCUAUGAAGACAACAACGAGUAUUUUCCUCAAGUAGACAUAGACUUCUACUUAACGACCUAUAACUGUUACCGUUAGUGUUCUUUAGAUCUGUACUACGACGACGACGGCACCUCAUACUGUUCUCCUUCUUACUUCUGUCAUAACUCCUACACCUAAGAGGUUCCAGUUUUAGACUCUUCUCUUCGAACCCUCUCCUACCACUAUUAUAAGUCUUUGUACUGUGUUCAUCCUCAUGAUUCUACUUCUGUCUACCGUUCUUCAUACUGUUUCUGCUAAGAAGAGCGUUCCUGUCUUUUAUGUCUCUUCUACUUAGUUCUGUAAGGUCUCUAUUUUCAAGCGCAGUAAGUAGAAGUGCCAGGGUAUCUUCAAGUUCCGUAAGACCCCUAUUUAUAGUAUCCCUACCAUGACUGGUCGUACUCAGCUUCUUUAGUCUUCUCCCGUGAGCUCGAUCCUUUAUGUUAAGGGAACUACUAGGGAACAGAAGUCUAUUUUUCUUGGAAGUAUUUCCCUCCAGAGGACCAAGUCUGAGACUACCGAAGUUCGUACUGUGACUUCAAUCCGACGCUUUACGAAGUAAUCUUCCUCGACUAGACCAGUAGGUCCUUCUGGUCGUUAAAGGACUACUUUGACCAUGUCUAUUUACGAGUCGUCUACGAGAUAACGGACGUAGUUUCGUCUCCCGGCUCCUUCUAUACACGAGAUGACACAGGCUGUAAUUACCCGUUGUACCUGAACUUCCUCUACCGCGAAAUCCCCCGUGGCUUCUCAGACGGUACACUAUAAUUGGUGUCACAAAUGGACGGUGUAGCAAGUCAACCGACUAACGUCUCCGAUGAGUAUGUUACCUACGUAACGACUUGACCACAAACAAUAGAGGAGAGACUAAAUCCUCAAAAUAAACGUCCUAUACUUCUAGAAAACCUCUCGAAGUCACGGUUGGUCUCACAAGUAGACUAGAUAUUUUUACGAACACUUCUCAACCUCGACUAAGACGCCACACUUAACUUCUAAGUUCCCUCACGCGUGAAUAGGUAUGAGUUCAUUUCAGGUAAUACUUUCUAAUUUGUUGAACAGAGAUCCGAUACGAUGUAAAGUCAACCGUACGAAACCGACCACGUUACCAGACUCUACAAAUAGAUGUAUGACACUUGUAUAAAACUAACUCAAACGUAAUACACGACACAAAAACGCAUACUAAGAGAGUACACGUAGAAAAUAGUCAUUACUAGACUACUAAGUUUUUCAAGUCGUCGAAUUAACUAGGCAUACAGUUCAAGUCAUCAACAAAUCAGGAAGCCUACUUACAUCUGUUAACACGACAUCUUAAAUAAACAAUAAAACACACGAAGAGUUAAGAGUGGGACGGAUUUUAUUUACAGAACUCAAACACGGUACCGUAAGUACUAAAAAGGAAAAAAGGAAAGGAAAAAGGAAAAGGAAAAGGGGGAAAGGACUCACUGUCCCCGAGCGAACUCUUCCGUCACAGACUGACUACACUCCGUUAACAACUAUUUCAGCCUUGUAAAUGAGGUCCCACAAGGGAACUAUCAAGGUCUCUAUUCGUCGUACGGAAGUUUAUAAUAAUAAGGAACAGAAGAAAAACGAGAACGUGUACAAACAAGCAAAGCCUUCUUCGUGGACAGGAGACGUUUCUCAUUGAAACGAUCAAUGACGAGUGGACGAUACUGACCACGACACCAACCUUUUUGUACACGUCCAAAGAACUUUCGACCAACGGCAACCUUGAACCUUGUACAAACCCUCCCCUGUCCUGUACGAUUGAAAUUUUCGACGAAACGCACAUCUUCUCCUACCGAUGUCAUGUUACCUGUAUCGUUCGAACAAGGUCCCUAGGCCUAGAAAUAUUCAUGACAUGCACGAUCUAGUAAAAAGAUCAGAGCGGGACAGUGACCUACUAACUCAUCGCAGAUCGUCAACUGUCUGACUCGGUUGAUUUGUCAUAACCGCUCAGUGACUAUUACACCAACGAACCUAGAUAGCUUACUUAGAGAACUGUAAACCAUAACCCAAACCCAAAACCCAACUACAUACUUAAUAUACCCUCCGAAUCAAGAUUCUUUAUGGUCACAAUUGACAGAUCCCUCUUCAUCCACUGUUCAUAGUAGUACGUACGUGUCCGAUAAACCGGACGUGGAUGUUUAACGAGUUAUAAAUCCAGGCCUUCAUGAAUAAGUCCAGGUCUUUAGGUCGGAAAUUACACAACAUACAAGAAGGCGAAGUUGGAUAAGAUUUAAGCCACAAACAAAAAUGUUAGAACUUGCUCAAUAUCCACACGAUCGUAAACAUAGACUUGUUCAGAAUCCGGGAUAAGGCGUUGGGAGGCGAGGAAGUCUCGCCUCGCCUCGCGCACCUCACCGGGAAGUCGCUUUAAACUUGACCUACGACGAGGCGAGGUCGCACCUCACCUGGAAGUCGCUUUAAACUUGACCUAUGACCAGGCGAGGUAUCACCUCAACCUCGCCCCUCUCUCACGCUUGUCCGAGAGUCAUUA
This 4783-nucleotide ribosomal RNA is filed under the name Triticum aestivum (bread wheat). Its description in RNAcentral is "partial small subunit ribosomal RNA". The record is from RNAcentral. Lineage: Eukaryota; Viridiplantae; Streptophyta; Magnoliopsida; Poales; Poaceae.